AUUCUUUCCAAAGAUGGAUGCAAAUGCUGGGAAAGCAAGAGUUGAAUUGCUAGCCAUGAGGAAAACGUAAGCCUGAGCUGUUUGCUGGCCAUCUUUGCUUCCACAUGGGGAUGGCCUGCCUGGAAAUGAAGCCACACAGAGAAAACAGAAGAGCAGUGAAGAGAAGGGUAAAAGGAGAGAUCCCAUGACAUGAUUUGCACUCUUAGAUCCAGUUAUGCCUGAUGCAGGACCCACCCCUUGGACUUCCCAUUUCCAGGAGCUAAAACUAGACUGAGUUGAGUUUCUGUCACUGACAGUUGACAGAAAAUAUCAACAAUCCAGCCACAUGGAGCCUCAUGGCAGUACCACUAACCCUGGUCACCACAUGAAUACUGACCAGAGAUGUCAAUGUGAUCUUUCACAAGCACACUGAAAAAUUCACACCGUGGAAAAGAACUAAAGUCCCAUCCUAAUUCAUCAGAGCCUUCUGUUUCCUGUAACAAAGAAGAACUCACAAGAUCAGGAUUCCAAGCUUCUUGUAUAGAAGAUACCUAAAAAGUGUUUGCUGAAUGAAGAAAUAAAGGAUUGCUCAGGCACCACUGGCACUUUAAGUUGUUCAGCAAGUACUCGUGCCUCUUAAGAACUGGCCAAGGGCCGGGCGUGGUGGUUCAUGCCUGUAAUCCCAGCAUUUUGGGACGCCGAGGCGGGCAGAUCACGAAGUCAGGAGUUCGAGACCAGCGUGGCCAACGUGGUGAAACCCCAUCUCUACUAAAAAUACAAAAACUUAGCCGGGUGUGGUGGCCUGCGCCUGUAGUCCCAGCUACUCGGGAGGCUGAGGCACAAGAAUUGCUUGAACCCACGAGGAGGAGCUUGCAGUAAGCCGAGAUCGCGCCAUUGCACUCCAGCCUGGGCAACAGGGCAAGACUCUGUCCUGAAAGAAAAAAAAAAAAAAAAAAAAAAAGAACUGGCCGAGGUCUUAGCUGGAGCACUCUCUCUACCCUGCAUGUUUGACUGCAUUUCUGUCCAUUUUCAAUCCGUUUUGGUUAUACGUUUUUUCACACAGGUCUGUUGAACUUAGAACACCGAAGGCCUGUGUAUUUUCAUGGCUCACAGCUCAUGUUGUGUUGACCUGCCCCACUGUGGUUAAUGUUUAGCCCCUAAACCACCAGCUGAAUGUCCUUAAAUCUGAAAGAAUAAUGAACACACGCCAACAGAUAGCUUAGGUUUAUUUGGUGACUUGCGCCACAUACUUUGCGAAUAUCAUCUCAGUCAUCCUUUUAGCAUCUCUCUCAGGCACAUACUCUCCUCUGUGGUGGCUCAUGCCGGUAAUCCCAGCCCUUUGGGAGGCCGAGGCGGGCAGAUCACUUGAGGCAAGGAGUUCGAGACCAGCCUGGCCAACACGGUGAAACCCCAUCUCUACUAAAAAUACAAAAAUUAGCCGGCUAUGGUGGCAUGCGCCUGUAAUCCCAGCUGCUCGAGAGGCUGAGGCAGGAGAAUCAUUUGAACCCAGGAGGCAGAGGUUGCAGUGAGCCUAGACUGCACCAUUGCACUUCAGCCUGGGUGAGACCCCAUCUCAAAUCAAUCAAUCAAUCAAUCAAUCAAUCAAUCAAUAAGGGAAAAGCUAUCACACAGCAGAAUACAGUCCAAGGGUAACUACUGAAGGGCCAGAUCAAGGAGCAAAGUCUAUCAUGUAUCAACCUUUACAGUGUCCCCAAGGGUCAGCUGUGUAUAGGGGCCCACACAGAAUUUGGAAUCCAAAUACAUCUCUGGAUCCCCAGGCCUGUGUUUGACUCGCCAGGUAGUAAUGAGAUGUCUCCAUUUUCUGCAGGCUGAAUGAUUCCCUCAGAGCAGAAGUAUAAGCAUAUUUAUUGUUUUUCCUUCUAUCAUAAACAGUUAUUAGUUGUGGCCCUUUCUCCCUUCCAAAUAGGUGCCCAAAUUUCUGGAAGUGGAAAGGGCCCAACUUUCCCAUAUCAGGGGGUGGGCCCCACUGGGCGUGAGCCAAUCAGUGUCUUCUGUCCUGUGAGCUCCCGAUUUAUGCUGGUCUAUAACCUGAGAUGGCCUUCUCAGGAUGGACCUCCAGGGAUUGCUGGAACUUGGACUCUUGUCAGCCUGGUAAAUGGUAUGUCUUAGAUCUGCUGCAGCCGUCGUGGAAAACUUGAAGCUGCCAGGAGAGAGGGGUUCCAACAUGUGGUGGCUAAAGAAUGAAUCCAACUCAAAGGAAGCAGAGCCAAGAAAUGGAUCCAUGCUGUUUGAAUCUUGGAUCAAAUUGUGCCUGGAUCUCCAGUGAGACAAUAA
RNAcentral lists this long non-coding RNA (2274 nucleotides) under Homo sapiens (human). Its description in RNAcentral is "long intergenic non-protein coding RNA 1476". Lineage: Eukaryota; Metazoa; Chordata; Mammalia; Primates; Hominidae. The record is from RNAcentral.